Molecule: ribosomal RNA, 728 nt
Filed under: uncultured bacterium
Lineage: Bacteria
Description: bacterial SSU rRNA
Rfam family: Bacterial small subunit ribosomal RNA
Source: RNAcentral
GAGCAAUCCCUGAUAAAGUGGCGCACGGGUGAGUAACACGUGAAUGAUCUACUCCGAGUGGGGAAUAACUGAGAGAAAUCUUAGCUAAUACCGCAUAACACUUACGAGUCAAAGCAGCAAUGCGCUUGGAGAGGAGUUCGCGGCCGAUUAGCUAGUUGGCGGGGUAAUGGCCCACCAAAGGCGAUGAUCGGUAUCCGGCCUGAGAGGGCGCACGGACACACUGGAACUGAAACACGGUCCAGACUCCUACGGGAGGCAGCAGUGGGGAAUUUUGCGCAAUGGGGGAAACCCUGACGCAGCAACGCCGCGUGGAGGAUGAAGUACUUCGGUACGUAAACUCCUUUCGAUCGGGACGAUAAUGACGGUACCGGAAGAAGAAGCCCCGGCUAACUUCGUGCCAGCAGCCGCGGUAAUACGAGGGGGGCAAGCGUUGUUCGGAAUUAUUGGGCGUAAAGGGUGCGUAGGCGGUUUGGUAAGUCUUGUGUGAAAUCUCCGGGCUCAACUCGGAGUCUGCAUAGGAAACUGCCGGGCUUGAGUGUGGGAGAGGUGAGUGGAAUUUCCGGUGUAGCGGUGAAAUGCGUAGAUUCGGGAAGGAACACCUGUGGCGAAAGCGGUCACUGGACCAUUAAGGGAGGCUGAUGCACGAAAAGCCUAGGGGAGCAAACCAGGAUUAGAUACCCUGGUAGUCCUUAGCCCUAAGGAUGAUGUUGUGUGGCAGGUACCCAAUC